GAGGUAAUAUUGGUCAAUGGGCGCAAGCCUGAACCAGCCAUCCCGCGUGAAGGAAGAAGGCCCUACGGGUUGUAAACUUCUUUUCUGUUUGAAGAAUAAGCUCGUCGAGACGAGUGAUGCCGGUAGGACAGGAAUAAGCAUCGGCUAACUCCGUGCCAGCAGCCGCGGUAAUACGGAGGAUGCAAGCGUUAUCCGGAUUUAUUGGGUUUAAAGGGUGCGCAGGUGGUUUAAUAAGUCAGUGGUGAAAGUCUGGCGCUUAACGUUAGGAUUGCCAUUGAUACUGUUAGACUUGAAUAUGGAUGAGGUAGGCGGAAUGUGUAGUGUAGCGGUGAAAUGCUUAGAUAUUACACAGAACACCGAUUGCGAAGGCAGCUUACUAAUCCAUCAUUGACGCUGAGGCACGAAAGCGUGGGGAUCAAACAGGAUUAGAUACCCUGGUAGUCCACGCUGUAAACGAUGAUCACUCGCUGUUUGCGAUAUACAGUAAGCGGCUAAGCGAAAGCGUUAAGUGAUCCACCUGGGGAGUACGAUCGCAAGGUUGAAACUCAAAGGAAUUGACUGGGGCCCGCACAAGCGGAGGAGCAUGUGGUUUAAUUCGACGCAACGCGAAGAACCUUACCUGGGCUUGACAUCCGUGGAACCUGGUGGAAACACCGGGGUGCCUUCGGGAGCCACGAGACAGGUGCUGCAUGGUUGUCGUCAGCUCGUGUCGUGAGAUGUUGGGUUAAGUCCCGCAACG
Molecule: ribosomal RNA, 739 nt
Filed under: uncultured Bacteroidota bacterium
Lineage: Bacteria; Pseudomonadati; Bacteroidota
Description: bacterial SSU rRNA
Rfam family: Bacterial small subunit ribosomal RNA
Source: RNAcentral